ACGGGAGGCAGCAGUCGGGAAUAUUGCGCAAUGGAGGGAACUCUGACGCAGUGACGCCGCGUAUAGGAAGAAGGUUUUCGGAUUGUAAACUAUUUUAGACAGGGAAGACAAUGACAGUACCUGUAGAAUAAGCUCCGGCUAACUACGUGCCAGCAGCCGCGGUAAUACAUAGGGAGCAAGCGUUAUCCGGAUUUAUUGGGUGUAAAGGGUGCGUAGACGGGAAAUCAAGUUAGUUGUGAAAGCCCUCGGCUUAACUGAGGAACUGCAACUAAAACUAAUUUUCUUGAGUGCAGGAGAGGAAAGCGGAAUUCCUAGUGUAGCGGUGAAAUGCGUAGAUAUUAGGAGGAACACCAGUGGCGAAGGCGGCUUUCUGGACUGUAACUGACGUUGAGGCACGAAAGUGUGGGGAGCAAACAGGAUUAGAUACCCUGGUA
RNAcentral lists this ribosomal RNA (434 nucleotides) under uncultured Acetivibrio sp. Its description in RNAcentral is "bacterial SSU rRNA". It matches the Rfam family "Bacterial small subunit ribosomal RNA", at positions 341 to 792 of the family's 1533-position model. The record is from RNAcentral. Lineage: Bacteria; Bacillati; Bacillota; Clostridia; Acetivibrionales; Acetivibrionaceae.